GACGAACGCUGGCGGCGUGCUUAACACAUGCAAGUCGAACGAUGAAGCUGGAGCUUGCUCCGGUGGAUUAGUGGCGAACGGGUGAGUAACACGUGAGCAAUCUGCCCUUGACUCUGGGAUAACUGCGGGAAACUGUAGCUAAUACCGGAUACUUUCACUGGAAGGCAUCUUCUGGUGAAGAAAGAAUUUCGGUCAAGGAUGAGCUCGCGGCCUAUCAGCUUGUUGGUGAGGUAACGGCUCACCAAGGCGACGACGGGUAGCCGGCCUGAGAGGGUGGCCGGCCACACUGGGAGUGAGACACGGCCCAGACUACUACGGGAGGCAGCAGUGGGGAAUAUUGCACAAUGGGCGCAAGCCUGAUGCAGCAACGCCGCGUGAGGGAUGAAGGCCUUCGGGUUGUAAACCUCUUUUAGCAGGGAAGAAGCGAAAGUGACGGUACCUGCAGAAAAAGCGCCGGCUAACUACGUGCCAGCCGCCGCCGUAA
Molecule: ribosomal RNA, 484 nt
Filed under: uncultured bacterium
Lineage: Bacteria
Description: partial 16S ribosomal RNA
Rfam family: Bacterial small subunit ribosomal RNA
Source: RNAcentral